GCCAUCGUAGCUUAUCAAAAGCAUAACACUGAAGAUGUUAAGAUGGGCCCUAGAAAGCCCCGAGAGCA
Molecule: transfer RNA, 68 nt
Filed under: Pteragogus flagellifer (cocktail wrasse)
Lineage: Eukaryota; Metazoa; Chordata; Actinopteri; Labriformes; Labridae
Also listed under: 1 other name
Description: tRNA-Phe
Source: RNAcentral